This 253-nucleotide ribosomal RNA is filed under the name uncultured bacterium. Its description in RNAcentral is "partial 16S ribosomal RNA". It matches the Rfam family "Bacterial small subunit ribosomal RNA", at positions 524 to 776 of the family's 1533-position model. The record is from RNAcentral.
UACGUAGGGGGCGAGCGUUAUCCGGAAUUAUUGGGCGUAAAGAGCUCGUAGGCGGUUUGUCGCGUCUGCCGUGAAAGUCCGGGGCUCAACUCCGGAUCUGCGGUGGGUACGGGCAGACUAGAGUGAUGUAGGGGAGACUGGAAUUCCUGGUGUAGCGGUGAAAUGCGCAGAUAUCAGGAGGAACACCGAUGGCGAAGGCAGGUCUCUGGGCAUUAACUGACACUGAGGAGCGAAAGCAUGGGGAGCGAACAGG